CUAAAAGAAACCAAUAAUACUUUGGAACAAGAAGUUGAACUGCUACGAAAGAAAUGUUUUCAACUUCAAGAUGCUGAGGUACAAGAAAACGAUGUGGUCAAUAAUGAACCAUAUGCAUACCAGGAUACUUACUCUUAUGACUAUUCAGUAACAGAUUUUGAUAGCAGGAUUCCACAUGACAGCAACAAUAAUGAUUAUAGUAAAUAAACUGUCACAGAAAUAAUCAUUUUGAUUAAUAAUGUUUUUAGGUCUUGAUAAUGUAGUUACCUAAUGGGAGGCUGUAACAAAAAUGCAGAAAAAUUUUGCCCCAAAAAAAAGAAGUGUUCGCCGCUUCAUCUACAGAGCACUAAUGAAACUGCAUAUAUCUGUAUAACUGAAUACACCAAGCAUGAAAUCAUACUUUUUGGUGAUACAUCAGCUAUUAUUAUUAUAGCUGGUAAGACAUUCCACGAUACAUGCAUGACUUGUA
Long non-coding RNA from Amphimedon queenslandica, 469 nucleotides. RefSeq lists it as uncharacterized. The record is from RefSeq and is a predicted model, not a curated record. The transcript has 3 exons. Lineage: Eukaryota; Metazoa; Porifera; Demospongiae; Haplosclerida; Niphatidae.